This is a long non-coding RNA of Piliocolobus tephrosceles (Ugandan red Colobus), 1598 nucleotides long. RefSeq lists it as uncharacterized. The record is from RefSeq and is a predicted model, not a curated record. Lineage: Eukaryota; Metazoa; Chordata; Mammalia; Primates; Cercopithecidae. The transcript has 3 exons.
AAGCUGCAUGCUUUUUUCUUCAUAUCUUGUAUAAUCCUCCACAUCCCUACAGAUGAGGAAACUGGGGCUCCAAGAGACCAACUAGCUUAGCACGUCCUGCCCCAGUAUUUGCACCUUGUGGCUAGUGAAUACUUCCAUGGCAAGCACUCCCUGACUGAAAUCUGAGACAGCCUUCUGGACUUGCUUGGAGAUGUGUUCUUUGUGGUCCAUGGGCUGAUCACAGCUCGAUAUCAUAGAGAGAGGGCGUUCCCAGGUGUGCCUGGAUGGAACUGUACCAUGAUGACCUGCGCCAUUCACCCGCCUUUCAGAGUCUGGGAAUGUUGAUCAGUUGUUGUUUCUGUUCCUGCCCCGUCCUCAGGACCAGAGAGAAAAUUCCUAUCUCUCUAUAAUUUUCUGGGGGCCAUCCCCCAGGAGUUUGUCUUUCUAGAAAUGUCUUCCCCAGCAUCUUAGCCAUACAUAGUAAUGGAACAAACAUUUUAGCUAUAGGAAGUAAUGGAACUCCUAAAAUAAUAGACUUUAAACCAACUAUUUUACAUGCAGCCAAAUACUCCACCCAGUAAUAUUAGAUUCCACAUUCUUCUCAAGUGCACAUGCAACAUCCUCCAGAACAAACCAUAUGUUAGGCCACUAAACAAAUCUCAAUAAAUGUAAAAGGAUGGAAAUCAUGCAGAGUAUCUUCUUCAACCACAAGGGAAUGAAAUUAGAAAUCAAUAACAAAAGGAAAUCUAGAAAAUUCACAAAUAUUUAUAAAUAAAAUGGUAUACUCUUUUUUAAAUUUUAAAAAUUGUGGUUAAAUAUGCUUCAUAAAAAAUUUACCAUCUUAACCAUUUUAAGUGUAUAAUUCAAUGGCAUUAAAUACACUCACGUUGUUGUAAAAACACCACCACUAUACAUCUUCAGAAUGUUUUUAUCAUCCCAAACGGAAACUUAGUACCUAUUAAAAAUAACUCCCACCCCUCUUUCCCCCAGACCCCAAUAACCACCAUUCUACUUUCUGUCUCUAUGACUGAGUUUUUAGUUACUUUAAUGACUUUGGUUACUCAAUGUAAAUGAAAUCAUACAAAUAUUUGUCCUUUUGUCUGGCUUAUUUCACAUAGCAUAAGUUCUCAGGGUUCCUAUAUGCUGUACUAUACAUUAGAAUUUCCUUCCUUUUUAAGGCCGAACAAUGUUCUGUUGUAUGUAUAUAUCACAUUUUGUUUAUCCAUUUAUUCAUUAAUGGACAUUUGUGUUGUUUCCACCCUUUGGCUAUUGUGCAACAAAUAAAUGGGCUAUUGACUACAAUUGGCUAUUGUCUAUAAUGCUGCAAUGAACAUAGUUGUAGAAAUAUCUGUUCAAGUCCCUGUUUUCAGUUAUUUGGGGUAUAUGCCAGAGGUAGAAUUGCUCAUAUGUAAUUCUAUGUUUAAUUUUUUGAAGCAUUGUCAUAUUCUCCACUGUGUCUACAUCAUUUUACAUUCCUACCAGCAAUGCACAAGGGUUGCAAUUUCUCCACAUCUUUACCAACAUCUGUUAUUUUCUGUUGUUGCUGUUUUUUAAAUAAUGACUAUUCUAAUGGAUUUGAAGUAGUAUCACAUUAUGGUGUUUUUGUUGUUGUUGUUGUU